GGCGGCAGCGCCCCGGACCCCCCUAGUUCGCGCUACCCAUUCAAGUUCUCGGGCCCUUGCGCGCGAUCCGGAGGUGGCACCCGCCACCCGCCCUGCCUCUGUGCCCCGGUUUCCAGACACCGCGCGGAAAUUUAGGUCAAGGACGCCGGGAGCACACCCACACCCUGCGCUCCCGGGGCGGUCCCCGAGACCCCGGGAAUCGGGGGGCUGCGGGAUGAAGGAGACCCUCCCACACAAACACCAGCCACAAGUUUUAUUUUCCCUUCGCGCGGCAAGUUCUCUGGCUCCCCCGCUCCACACCCGCACGUCCUGCACGGCUCCCCGCCCUUCCCCGGCAGAGGUUGGGCAGUGGUGGCUCACACCUUUAAUCCCAGCACUUGGGAGGCAGAGGUAAGUGGAUCUCUGUGAGUUUGAGGCCAGCCUGGUCUACAGAGUUUCAGGACAGCCAGGGCUGUUACACAGAGAAACCCUGCCUUGAAAAACCAAGGAAAAAAAAAGGGUAGGUGCAUUAAAAUUUCUCUAUGUACUGUGAUGCUCCCACAUGUGCAAACAUACAUG
RNAcentral lists this long non-coding RNA (558 nucleotides) under Cricetulus griseus (Chinese hamster). Its description in RNAcentral is "lncRNA (ENSCGRG00015040821.1)". The record is from RNAcentral. Lineage: Eukaryota; Metazoa; Chordata; Mammalia; Rodentia; Cricetidae.